Molecule: transfer RNA, 70 nt
Filed under: Dipodomys ordii (Ord's kangaroo rat)
Lineage: Eukaryota; Metazoa; Chordata; Mammalia; Rodentia; Heteromyidae
Rfam family: tRNA
About the family: Transfer RNA (tRNA) molecules are approximately 80 nucleotides in length. Their secondary structure includes four short double-helical elements and three loops (D, anti-codon, and T loops).
Source: Rfam by way of RNAcentral
GGGAAAGUCGCUCAGUGGUAGAGUGUUUGCCUCACAUGCAAGAGGCCCUGGGUUCGAUUCCUCAGCACCA